RNAcentral lists this non-coding RNA (29 nucleotides) under Mus musculus (house mouse). The record is from RNAcentral. Lineage: Eukaryota; Metazoa; Chordata; Mammalia; Rodentia; Muridae.
UGUAUCCAAAGAAAAGUAUGUCUCCGUCA